GCAUCGAGGGAGCUGACAACCCGAGAGGUCAGCCUGAGAGGAGGAGGAGGCCUGGGAGAGGCAUCGGGCGCCAGCGGAACAACUUUGCGAAUCAACGUAGCUACGUGGCAGAUAUAAUUCUGCUGUUGCGCAUCAGAGUCGCUCCGUGAAGAUACUCCAGUUGGAAUCAUCGAGCGAAUUAAUGGUGCAAAUCCG
Long non-coding RNA from Temnothorax curvispinosus, 195 nucleotides. RefSeq lists it as uncharacterized. NCBI's taxonomy places the organism in Eukaryota, Metazoa, Arthropoda, Insecta, Hymenoptera, Formicidae. The transcript has 3 exons. The record is from RefSeq and is a predicted model, not a curated record.